UGGAGAUAUUUCCCUUGGAAAAGAAAACUCUACUCUCGAUCUUCAAAUGUUUCUGUUACCUACAUCAUCUUCCCUGGCAAGGGACACUCUCUUGAAUGUAUUGACUAAUGAAAGAGUAAGCCCACAGCACGAGGACAGCCUACAAGAGAUCAAGUGGCUACAUGAAGGAAAGCUGAGAUACCCAGCUGACAACCAAAUAACUGCUGAAGCAGAGCCAACUAGUCAAUGUGCAGCUGACUGCAGAAACAUAAAUGAGAGAACUACCUCUUUGAAGAUUCCAAAGUAAGAAAAAGCUGAACUCUAGAGAAAGUGAUGAGAAUACAAAUAACAAGCAGAGUGGAAAAAAUUUAGCUGCUAAUAUAGGCAGGAGUUCAAUUAUGUAUAUCCUCAUAGGCCAUGCUUAUUAUUUCUUUCCAAUGUUUUGAAUAAAGGAGUGACAUGAUUAA
Long non-coding RNA from Bubalus bubalis (water buffalo), 446 nucleotides. RefSeq lists it as uncharacterized. The record is from RefSeq and is a predicted model, not a curated record. Lineage: Eukaryota; Metazoa; Chordata; Mammalia; Artiodactyla; Bovidae. The transcript has 2 exons.